RNAcentral lists this ribosomal RNA (476 nucleotides) under uncultured Desulfobulbus sp. RNAcentral describes it as "bacterial SSU rRNA". It matches the Rfam family "Bacterial small subunit ribosomal RNA", at positions 916 to 1381 of the family's 1533-position model. The record is from RNAcentral. Lineage: Bacteria; Pseudomonadati; Thermodesulfobacteriota; Desulfobulbia; Desulfobulbales; Desulfobulbaceae.
GACGGGGCCCGGCACAAGCGGUGGAGUACGUGGUUUAAUUCGAUGCAACGCGAAGAACCUUACCUGGUCUUGACAUCCCGGAGACCCUUAGGAAACUAGGGGGUGCUUCCAUCUGGAAGAAUCUGGAGACAGGUGCUGCAUGGCUGUCGUCAGCUCGUGUCGUGAGAUGUUGGGUUAAGUCCCGCAACGAGCGCAACCCUUGCCUUUAGUUGCCAGCAGUUCGGCUGGGCACUCUAAAGGGACUGCCGGUGUUAAACCGGAGGAAGGUGGGGAUGACGUCAAGUCCUCAUGGCCUUUAUGACCAGGGCUACACACGUACUACAAUGGCCGAUACAAAGGGCAGCGACACUGCGAGGUGAAGCCAAUCCCGUAAAAUCGGUCUCAGUCCGGAUUGGAGUCUGCAACUCGACUCCAUGAAGUUGGAAUCGCUAGUAAUCGUGGAUCAGCAUGCCACGGUGAAUACGUUCCCGGGCCUU